AAAAAAAUGCCUAGUGAAAGAAAAAAAGAUAAUAGCUUCCUGCAGGAAUAUUAUCUCUAGAGGAGACUACUGGCUCACUAGUCACUGCUACAAAUAUCUUCUAUGACAAACAAGCACAUGAUUUACAAUCAUUACCAAGUAGCUUGAUUCUGUGAAAACUUAUAAAAUAUAUAUUUAAGCACCAUUUUUCCCACUAAGCAUGAAUACUAUCCAUUGUAAUUGCCUAUCAAUAAAACCUCGCAAUGUCAUGUUAAUAGGAAAGUGUCCUGGUUGAUGCCCAUCUAAUUUAUUUUCCCUUGAUAACUAAAUG
Molecule: unclassified non-coding RNA, 310 nt
Filed under: Hevea brasiliensis (rubber tree)
Lineage: Eukaryota; Viridiplantae; Streptophyta; Magnoliopsida; Malpighiales; Euphorbiaceae
Source: RNAcentral